UACGUAGGGUGCAAGCGUUGUCCGGAAUUAUUGGGCGUAAAGGGCUCGUAGGCGGUUUGUCGCGUCGGGAGUGAAAACUCAGGGCUUAACCCUGAGCCUGCUUCCGAUACGGGCAGACUAGAGGUAUGCAGGGGAGAAUGGAAUUCCUGGUGUAGCGGUGGAAUGCGCAGAUAUCAGGAGGAACACCGAUGGCGAAGGCAGUUCUCUGGGCCGUAACUGACGCUGAGGAGCGAAAGCGUGGGGAGCGAACAGG
Molecule: ribosomal RNA, 253 nt
Filed under: uncultured bacterium
Lineage: Bacteria
Description: partial 16S ribosomal RNA
Rfam family: Bacterial small subunit ribosomal RNA
Source: RNAcentral